GGUACAAGUCCCCAUGAGAGGGGCAUGUUACCCAGAGACGGUGYUAGGCCCGUGCCGCCGUCGGUCCGCGUGCGGAGUUGCCGUUUUCCCGGGAGUCGGGUUGCUUGGGAGUGCAGCCCAAAGUGGGUGGUAAACUCCACCUAAAGCUAAAUAUGACCGAGAGACCGAUAGCGAACAAGUACCGUGAGGGAAAGUUGAAAAGCACUUUGAAGAGAGAGUUCAAGAGUACGUGAAACCGUUCGGAGGUAAACGGGUGGGACCUCGAAGUCCAAAGACGGUGGUGGAUUCAGUCCGGGCGGGAGCGGCCCUUUCCCAGAGCAGGUUGCCCCACGACCGGGGACCUCUUUGGGGGUUUUAGGGCCACGUCCGGGCGCACUUCCACACCCCGUCCCUUAGGACGUCGCGACCGGUUGGGAGGUCGUCGUAAGGCCUCGGCCAAAAGGUGGCCGCACCUCUUCUUUYGGGAGGAGGGCGGUGUUAGAGGUGGCUGUGYGCUUGGGAGACUGCCCGACCGGGGUAAUUUCAUCGUUUCCCCCCCCUGAGGGGAGCGGCCCUAGGCUCGCAUAUUUUUCUCGUCUUGCGUGCCGCCAGCGAUGGCGAACGCGACCGGGUGGAUUUGCGGUGCCGGUGGGAUCGCGGGAAGCGGAGGGUCGCGGCGAGUAGGUCGGUUCCCCACCCGACCCGUCUUGAAACACGGACCAAGGAGUCUAACGCGUGUGCAAGUUCCCGGGACUUGAUCAGGCCCGCGGGCGCAAUGAAGGUGAAGGGCGGCUCGGUCGCCUGGGUUGGGAUCCCGUCUUACCUUAAGGCGGGCGCACCAACGGCCCGUCCAAAACCGUUCUCGGUUGGGCGGAGCAAGAGCAUACGCUCUGGGACCCGAAAGAUGGUGAACUAUGCCUGGGCAGGACGAAGCCAGAGGAAACUCUGGUGGAGGUCCGCAGCGAUUCUGACGUGCAAAUCGAUCGUCAGACCUG
RNAcentral lists this ribosomal RNA (974 nucleotides) under Ideoblothrus sp. MCZ 130524. RNAcentral's name for it is "LSU rRNA". It matches the Rfam family "Eukaryotic large subunit ribosomal RNA", at positions 178 to 913 of the family's 3401-position model. The record is from RNAcentral. Lineage: Eukaryota; Metazoa; Arthropoda; Arachnida; Pseudoscorpiones; Syarinidae.